Molecule: long non-coding RNA, 31909 nt
Filed under: Vitis vinifera (wine grape)
Lineage: Eukaryota; Viridiplantae; Streptophyta; Magnoliopsida; Vitales; Vitaceae
Description: long non-coding RNA (VVIN_LNC001395)
Source: RNAcentral
UCUGCCACUGGCUUUGGUUGGUUAACUUCAUUGAACAACCUGGCAAGCUUGGUUUUUCAUCUGCCAUCUCUGAUGCUUGGAGCUUCUUGAUUAGCAUCACCAUCGGCUUUGAAUUUCACUUUCUUAAGGAUAAGCAGAAACAUGGCAGGAGCAGAAGUUCCUUUAAGUGGUGUCAUAGAUGAUAUCCAAGGUGAUGAAGGACAAGGAAGAACAGGGUUCUUUUCAAAGAGAAUAUAUGAUAUAUAUAUAAGAAACCAUUAAAAAAAUGUGUGCAUGAGAUGGUUAACAAUGGGAUUCAAUGUGUACAAAUUUAGGGAACAAAAUAAUUUGUCAAGAAUGGUCUUCCCUAGCCACACUGCUAUGUUAAAUUCUAUCUGAUGCCGUAUAUUUUCUUGAAUAUGGCCAAAUGUGGUCCAUUUUGAUCCUUUUUUUUAUGGCAAACUGAAGCAUUUGAGCUUUCAUGCUGUGUGGGAUUUUUGUUGCAUUUCAGCUUGUUAAUGUUGAACCAGUCGAUUUAACAUCAUUUAGGCCCAUUUGUUGUUGAACUUGUUCUGGCCCAUAUGAGUUUCAACAAAUUUCCUGCCUCCUUUUUUUCUUUCCCCCCUCUCCCCCCAGAAAAUAGGGUCUAUUAUAAUGUCUGAUUCUGUUUGGAUGAAAUAAAUAUGAUCAUAUAUGAACUUCUCAGCUUUUAUCAUGUAUAUUUUCACAAUGGUUAAUCUGAAACAUGUCACAAGAAUAACCACUAAGAGUAUUUUGAUUUGGUGGAAAAACUGGAAAUCCUACCUGUAUCGAUCUGACAACUUAAGGUAUUCUGCUUUUUUACAUCAAGAAUGUCAAUAUGGUCUUGUUAUCCUCUUCCUCACCCACCUCAGAUUUUGGCAUUACAAUCCACCUUUUAGAUGAAUUACCUUUCUUUGGCAUGCCCUGCUUGGUCUCAAUAAAAAUAUCAGAAUGACGUGUAUCUUUCUCACAUACUGCAUUGCUUAUUAUCCUGAGAAUAUGUAUUUUUGUUUCUUGUCCUCCUUCCAGUUCCUGUUUAUAUCAAAUUUAGUUGUAUUUACUUGUGGGAAUGCAAGGCAUGAUUCUCCUCUAUUGGUCUGAGCUCUUCCUUACUGGAAUGCCAUUUUCUUUUGAAGUAGGGGUCAUAGCCUCAUUAGGCUACAAAUUUUUCUUCUUGUAUUUCUUUUUGGGCAUGUUAGAAUUAUUAUUUUUUCUCUCCUUUAUUAUUUUGUUCUUUUUUCUGACCUCAUUGCUUGCUUACUAUAAGGUAUUUCCUUUUGAAUUUGUAAUCAUAACUCAUUUGACUACAAUUUUUUUUUUUCCUUUGACAUUUCUGAAAUAUAUGGUAUUUGCUUUAUUGUUCUUCCAAUUUAUUACUAUAUUAGUAAUAUAAUACAUGUAGCCUGCCGAAGUAUCCUCUGGUUCUUUAUGCAUUUGUUUGAACAUCAAUUCUCGUCUGCAAAGAUAAUUUAGCAUUUUUGCAAUGAUUACUUGAGAAGCUGUGUACAUGAUAAUUGCCUUUCAAAAUGUAAGCUAAAUGUGAAGUACAAGCUUUGGUGUUAAAUUCAGGAUGUACUAGUUUUUCACAAUACUAUGCCUGCUUUUAUAUUGAACAAUGGUUUAUCCAUCCUUUGUCCACAGCCCACAUUGGUGUCUAUAACAUCAUCUAAUUCUCUUCGUUUCAUGUGUAAUUCCCAAACAGAAAAUGCUUUUGCCUUGCGGUCUCCCCCCUGAAAGAGAGGACGAUUGAUUGUUGUUGUUUGGCAGACGCUGAAGCAGGACACUGAAGAUGGAUCUUUGCUGGCUUUUGUGUACCUCCUAUGUCCUUUGAUGUGCAAUAUGUGACUUGUGGAGAAUUUUAAUAUUGCAAUUGGAACAACGGAGCUAUAGCAGCAUAGGAUAUUUCCAUCUGGUUUUAAGGACAGACCUGUCAAAGACCCUUGUACUAAUUUGUUUGAUGAACAUUGGUACAAGUUCUCAAACCCAGCUAGGUUUAUCUUAUCUAUUUGAUCGAGUAGGUAUUAUAUAUUACCUUAUUAAUUGGCGAUUUUCUUUUUUUUAAAAAAAAAAAAAAAAAAGAAAUUGGUCAUAAGACUCAUACCUAUCUUUUUUAUUUUUUAUUUUUAUAUUUUUCAUAUUUUCCCUCUUAAUUUUUAUUUUAAAAAUCACUAAUAAUUGAGGGAACAAUUUAUUUUAAUUUUUUAAUCAUAUUUAUUAUUUUAAUUUUUAUGUUUAAAAAAUUAAAAAUGAUAAAGUUAUUUAAAUUUGCAGACAACUAAAAUCUUAAAAACUUAAUAAAAAUAAAAUUUUAAAUACUUUAUAAAAUAAAUUUUAAAUGAAAAUUAAUUUGAUAAGAUACAUAAUAAAUUUAGUUUUCGAAUAAUAAUUUAAAUAAAUUAGUGACAAAAACUUUUCAAAAAUUUUGAAGACUUUUAAGAUGAACUCUCAAAUAAAAUAUUUCACAUUAAAUUUUGUUUUAAGAUUUUGAAUGAUUUAAUUUUUUGUUCAAAAUGUUUCAAUAAAAUUAAUGAUUUCUUUUACAUCUAUUUUUUUUUUUUCCAAAUAAAUGGAUAUAGAUGAAAUGAAAAGGAUUUUUAAUAGUUUUAGUAAAAAAAUUGUCUUCAAAUAAUGAAAUCAAUAAAAUUUCUCCACGUGCAUUAAUAUUCAUCAUUCGUUUUUUUAACAUUUUCAUAACAAGUAGGGAAAUCAUAAAUAGAGACGUAAUAAGUAGGGAAAGGAGUCUUAUUGUAUGGAAAGUGCUUGAAAUAAGAGAUUAUUUUAUGGUAUGCUCCAAAAACCGGAAACGCUCAAAAUGGGAUCUAUGAAGAAGCUUUGAUGAUGGUUAGUGAAGGAGUGGCCCACUCUAACAGCAUAAAUGGGCUCGAGCCUAAGCAAACCAGAAAAGGCCCAGAGGCAUAACCGUACUAUAGGCUCAACAAGGUGUCAAGGACAAGAGAAACCCACGACAAUAAGGGUUGGGCUGAAGCUUGCCUAUGGGAAAUUCUUUAAGUUUAUGUUUAGUCCAGAAAGUACCAAAAAGAAAAAAAAAUAUAUAAAGAAAAAUGGUUUUCUCAUAUUUGAUUCCACUAUAAUUUUUAAAAAAUUAAAUAUAAUUAAAAUUAGUUAGAAAUUUAUAUAUUUUAAAAUUACUUAAUUUUUAUAUAAUGAAAGAAAUUAAGUGAAAUGAAUUUAAAGAAACAUAUAAAAUAAUUUAUUAAUUUUAAAUUUAUUUUUUAUUUUUUUCUUUUCUUCCACUUUUUCUUUUUAUUUUAUUUCUCUCACAUUUUCCUUCGAAUUUUUCGAAAUCAAAAACUUAAGUAUUUUUACAAACCCUAAGCAUCAACGCUUGAGUAUAGCAUGUCAGGGUGGGCAUAACACAUUCUUUAAUUGGCACGUUUAGGGUUGACACAUUAGGAGGACGUUUGGAAGUUGACCAAUCUUAUCAAUGGGGAUAUUCUCAAUUGUCUAUCAACCACUGCAUGGGUAUUAGAAUUAGGCUACUAGCCUUGAGCCAAUCACUUUAUGUAAAUUUUAUUGAGGUGCCUCGUACUAACUUGAUUGUCAAAGGGGCAUAAUAGGGAAUCCCCUUACUUGUUGGAGUUCAUCCUCAUUGAAUACAUUACUCACUUGAUCACCAGAUAGCAAGGCCAAGCUGCUAUUGAACUUGCCCGUUUAUUGACCUACUUUGGAAGCUUGUGCAUAAACAUCUGAAGUCGUCUGUGGGAACGGAUAGGAAAUUGUGUGAGUUACAUGGUGACCAGCUAAGCCGCAAGCACUAUGGAGGAUGGUUGGACUCCCACUCCUACUCUAGAACAGCAUCUCAUAGUGAUGCAAAAGACCAUGGAGGUCUAGUUGGUUGAGUAUCAUACACAGAUGGAGAAAACGUGAAGAACAAUUAAUGGAAGGAGAAAAUACGAAGAGGGAUUAAAAGACUAUCAUGAGAACAAAGAAGUGAUUGCUCAAGUGAGCCUGAUAGCCAAAGCUCACUCAGCAACAAUAGAGCCCCCAACUAAGAUUGGUCACCUGGAGGUAGGGACAUUGCCAAACGACCUCUACAACCUAAUGUCACCCAAACCCUAGUGAUAGAAGUAGAUAGUCAUGCUAACCUUUCAUGCCCUUUGAUAGUGAAUUAAUCCUUAGUUGAACCUGCUUAGAGUGCAUAUGACCUUAGUGAAAACCAGAGUUGCACAGGAAAAUGCACACCUUCCAAGAGCCUACCUAUGGCCCUUACUUAUAACCAAGCAACCUUGAACCAUUUAUGCAAUGUGGCUAGCUCUAAGGCCCACUUAGAUCAACCGUAAGGAUGUUGGACGAUAUAUUGUCUACCUAGUUCUUAAACUUCAUUCGGUAAUGGGAGCAAUCAUGUUGAUUUGCAAUGCCAAAGUUCACUAUGUACAAUGUAUGUUCGACCAACUCAUGCACUAUCAACAAGUCAUGACCCACUCCUAUGCAAAGUGUUCUCCGCUAUCCCACAUAGCCACGCCUUGGCCUGGUUCCACCAACUACCUCAAAAUUCUAGUCACAACUUCUGAGGAUUGUUGGAAGUUUUUAUGACCCAAUAUCUUUAUUUGGCCAACAAGAAGCUGACGUAAUUUAUUUUUCUUGUCCCUAAAUACCCAGACUAAUUAUCUUGUUGAGAAAAUUUAGUGAUCAAGUUGCAACAGCUUUGUAAUAUGUUGGGUAUCGUCUUCAAAGAAUGAUUAUGAAAUUUGUCAAUAUUAGCUUAGGUUGAUGACUUUAUUUAAAUCCAAAGGUAAAAAGAUGGUUUUAUGGAUUAUAAUUUAGGAAAUUAAUUAAAGAAAACAAAGAAAAUAAUUGAUUUUAAUUCCUAUGAUUCACCAAUCCAAUUUGGAGAAUAGAAGUUAGGGUGAAUAAGACUCUUAAUUUAUGGUAAUCUUAGGGCUUUUAGGAUUCGUGGUUGAUCAUGUGGUCAAUUUGAGUUCUAUAACUUCGUAUUACAUUUGAAACCUAAUUUUCUUCUUUUAAAAUUCUAAUUUCUAUUUAUCAUCAAUUUAAUGAAAUUGAUUAUGGUUCAGCUCUCAACUUUAAAGUUGCCACCUUAGUGAAGUACUAUACCAUGUCCUUUCCUACUCCAAACUACGAGAGUUUUAUAGUCUUAUUGCUUUUACCUUGAACCAUUAGACAAAUCCAUUUAGGUUUUCCAUAUUCCCACUGUUCACCUUUUGUUCUAACAUUAGACUUUCAUGUUUCACACCCUAAGAUGGCUAUUUAGCCCCUCAUGGGUGUCUUUUCAUGCACACAAGCCAUAGGAAACCAAAUCAACAAGUAUUAAAUAAAAAAGAAAAUGCCAAACAUAGUAGAAAUAACCAACCUAUUGUUUUCUUCUUCAAAAACUCUAAAAUCCAAAAUCUGAAACUCUAAGACCCUAAAACUAAAAGUGUUUUGCUAAUCUUUGCAUAACCAUGACAUAUAGUACACUCUCAUUGACCAUUUUUAUCAAAAUUGCAUCAUAAGUUUUCCAAAAACUUGAAAAAUUAUGAAUUCUAAAUAUUCUAGAGUUGUUUUGAAUUGGAUAGAUGCUUGGAAAGUUUAUUUUGAAUUGGUUCAAGCUUGUUUUACCCUAAACAACCCUUGACUUUGAAAUUCGUGGGUGAAGUCAAAAUCAUUUUGAAUGGGUAAGUAACUGUUGACCGUCCUAAAUGUUGAGUUUGAAAUUAUGAGUUAUGAAUUCAAAAUUGGUGGCUGGUUUUGAAUUCAACUAUUACUUUUCAUCCUCUAUGCAAUCCUCAGUUUGAAAGGAUUUAUGUAUUUAGAAUUUAGGCUUUGAAAAGAGUCUUUUCACCUUCCAAAAUCUAUUUUGCAUACUUCUUUCUUUUUUUCUUUUUUUUUUUUUUUUUUUUGGCUUGUUUUGACUUCUAAUAUGCCUUCAAACUUGAAUGAAUAUCUCUCUAUCACCUCCAUAAUGUCUUUUACACAAACGAUAUGAUUUACAUUCAAUCUAAGGCAUAAACCAUUCAACUUAACUCAAAUUUAUUUUAGCACCCUAGUUGAUGAUCUAAUGUUUAUCUUGAACUAAAAGAUAGGUAAAGGAGUAUAAAGGAUGUAGAAAGAGAGUAUGUGCAUAGAGGCAUAUGAAGGACUAUUCAUGCAUAAGAAAAUUAGGAUUAUAAAUAAACUUCCAUUUUAAUUCAUAUACAUCCAUAUUCUCACACAUUAACAUCCAUAUAUAAUUAGACAUAUAUAAGGAAAUAAACACAUACAUGGAAACCAAAUAAAAAUGAUUCUCAUGGUCCUAGAAUCCUAUAGUGAUUAAUUUUAGUUGUUUCCUUUUUGCAAUCAAACAUCCAAAACAUCCCGAAAAAGCAUCCAAGCUUGAUGCCAAAAACUAAGCCUAACAAAAGACCCAAAAAUGAGCCCAAACUGACAAAAUACACACACACACACUGUAACGACCCGCACCCAACCAUAUAGAUAUUGUCCGCUUUGGGCCCAAGAAGACCCUCACGGCUUUAAAACGCGUCUACUUGGUUAAAAGGAGCCUCUACAUAUAUAGCGUCAGGAACUUGCUCCCCUAUCCGAUGUGGGACAUCACAAAUACCCCCCCAUGCAGACACAACGUCCUCGUUGUGUCCCAUGGGAUUACGGGGCCAAACAGACAGACACCCCUUACGGAGCCAAACAAACCCCCACACCGGGGUCGGGGAUCGGCUCUGAUACCAUUUGUAACGACCCGCACCCAACCAUAUAGAUAUUGUCCGCUUUGGGCCCAAGAAGACCCUCACGGCUUUAAAACGCGUCUACUUGGUUAAAAGGAGCCUCUACAUAUAUAGCGUCAGGAACUUGCUCCCCUAUCCGAUGUGGGACAUCACACACACACACACACACACACACACACACAAGGCUCAAACUCAAUUCCAAAGUAUCAUUGUCCUUUGCAUAACCCUACUUCAAUCUGUCAUAUUUCCAUUGUCUCAACUGAUUCACAAAUUGUUUGAAUUGUUGGAUUCAUAACUUCUUAAGCUUUAAAAUUAUAUAUGGCUUGCCUCAUGAAACUCAUGGGAGACUACCUGAAUUUUGAAUAUUAAAAGUCAAAGCUUAUAAAUUGUCAUGGUUUUUGUUUGUCUUUUCUCCAUUUCUUCUUAGAAAAAAACCAUAUUUUGUGGUUGGAUUGCUUUCAAAUCUUCUAAAUAUCAAUCCUUCUCAUGAUUGCAAUCCCAAAAGGGGAUUAUCUUGGAUUACAACCAUAGAACCAAAAAGAAAUUUUCAUUGAAAAAAUUCUAUGCUCCCAUCAUGAAGCUUACAACCAUUCUAUGGAAGAAAAAAAUAAUUUUUUUACAAGAGACAAAUAGUCUAUGCUCUUCAAAUAAAGCUUACAACUCAAUCUAUUGCAACAAGAUAUAUAUUCAAAAAAUAAUUCUAUGCAUUCAUUCCUUAGGUAUGGAAGAAAUAAAAACCUUGCAAAAUAAAUGCAAGCAUAUCCUAGAAUUAAUCUAAUCAUGUUUUCCCUAAUAUAAGGCUCUUAAAAUAGUUGUUGGGAUAUCGUGGAAAAACCAUAUCCAAGCCCUGGAUCUCCAAUGGGUGCAUGCAUUAAGAUCUUAAGCGUAACAAGAAAACUACAUAUGCCUUUAGAACUUUUCUUAGGUGAAGAUAACAAGAAGAAAUCAUACCUUAGAUUUGGAUGUUCCCAAAUCUUUUUCCAGUUGAUAGAGAACACAAUCUCGAGGACCAAGAGAUCUUUCGCCUAAUAGCUCUUCAUUAGAUUUUGACAAUAGAAAAGUGUGGAUUGCUCUCUCUAAAUGUAUGAAGGUUAGGAUUUUCUUUCUCUCUUUGGAAGACAAUAGUGAAUUAGAGUGUCUAACCCUAAAUCAUAAUAGGGUUUAUAUAGACUUCUUUGUGAGCUUAAGUGACUUGAGUUCAUCUUAGCUUUAGAUUACUUAAUUUAGUUCACUAGGUCUUAAUUAACUAAUUAGCAUUUUUAUGCUUCAAUUAAUUAAUUAGCUUAAUCCAAAAAGAUAAUUCAUAAACACUUUAUGCAACCCUAUAUUUUUACCAAAACACAUUUAUGCAUACAUAUGAAUAAAAACCUAAAUAUCCCUCAAAAUAACAUACCACUAAGGAGUGUGAGUUCAAGUAAGGACCAUUAGUACCCAUAGGAAAAUACUGACUCCCGCAUAAUACAAUUCUGAGGUUAACUUAAAAUCUCACUACAAAUAAUCAAUUACACUCCAACAUCCUUUUAAAUUAAAUCAAAAAAAUAAAUUGAUUAAAUCUAAUUUAAUCAAAUUUUCAAGCUUGUGACCUACUAACCACCAUAUGCAAAAUUUCCAUGAAUUCAUGUGUGUAAUCUAACAAGAUGGAAGUUAACAACUUCUCAAAAUUCCAUAUACCAUCUUUGAGUCUUAGAUCCCCCUAUUAUGUGACCAAUUGACAAAUUUUUGCUUACUAGGAGCAUAUGUCAAAUUCCAUUAAAAGAAUUACAAGGGUGUCAUAGAUUUCAUGAUCACAAGUCGGGAUCACCCAAGGAGAUAUAGGGGCUGUUUGGUUGGUGUUUUCAAGAACUAUUUUCUGUUCUUGAAAACAAAAAAUACUAAAAACUUGUUUGGUUAAGAAAGUUGUUUUUGUUUUUCUUGUUCUCUGUGUUCUCAAAAUGACACUUUUUAGAGAACAAAAAAAUGGUGUUUUGCCCAUUUUUUUUACUGUUUACAGAACAUAAAAAACCAUAAAGAGAACACCUGUUCUCUGUGUGUGUGUGUGUGUGUGUGUUUUUUUUUUUCCAGAUCUGAGCUUUUUUUUAUCAUGUGUUGUUAGUUUUUUUUUUUCCCAUUUAUAUUUUCUUGUUUGGAUGCUGAGAAAAGUGGGGAACGAGAUUGAAAAUAGAAAAAAACAAUUCUUAAUUUUUCCCGUUUCUCAGUUUUGAUUUUUUUUUUAGUUGUUCUGUUAAAAAAAAAACAAAAAACUUGCUUAAGGACAUGGAAGAGAAAGAAAAUGAGUUGCUUUGAGAGGGUUUUGCAGGUGACUUUUUCUCAGUUUUGAAGAAGAUGAGAGACGACUGAGGGUGAGGGUAGUCAUUUGUAAAUAAGGUAAUAAUAUUGAGUUAACACUUUUCUCAAUAAUGGAAUGAGCAGAGAUAUUUUGAAGGGCCAUGGUUGGUAAAAAAAAAUUUCAUACAUAAAGUGCAAAUUUCAAAACAUAUUAGGUGGUAAAAUCUAUUGGUCAACCCAAGCAAAACACCAUCUUCAGCCGUGGGAUCCCUUGGAAAAUGACCAUCUCCUUGCAUUUAUAUUCAUGUCCUAUUUAUUUUAUUUACAAGCUUGUUAGGUGAAAAUUAGUUGUAAAAAUUAAAUUAAUUCUUUUUAAAAAUUUUUAUUUCAUCUUAAUAAAAUAUACUAUAAUUUUUAAUAAAAUUAAAGAUUAAAUCAAGAAAAAAAAUGUUAAUAAAAAUGAUUUUAUCAUGUUUGAUUUAUUUUAAAAAAAUAUAAAAAAUAUUUUUAUUUUAAAAUUAAUAAAAUAAAUAUAUUUUUUUAAUUUAAAUGAACCGUGUAUCUAAAAAUUAUUUAUAAAUUUAUAAUAUAAAGUUACUUGAAGAAAACAUUUUAUUAAUUGGAAAAAAAAAAAAACAUCUUUCAAACAUGUUUUUUGUUUUACUUGUUCUAAAAAACUUUUUUAUUAACUCAACCAAACAUGUUUUUUUUUUUUUUUUGAAAACAAAAACUAUUUUCCAAAAUUUAGUUCCCAAACACAAUUUUUUUUUUUCUAAAAACACAAAAAAUUGUUUUUAAAAAUUGUUUUCAAAAACUGUUUUCCAGAACAAUUUUCAAAAACAGCAACCAAACAGGCCCAUACUAUUUCAAACCCAUAAGAUAUUAUGGUGCUUAUUUUGAGAAUUUUGAUUAUUAUAUGACUUAAUAAAAAAAUAACUCAAUCCAUACAGAAUAUAUGACCACCUUACGAUCUCAUUCAUAAGUUAAAGUUACUGAAGACUUCAACACUAGUUCAAUGUUCUCUCAAGGUUAAGAAUUGAUGCAGUAUAGUAUCUUGGUGAAAUAUUGGUUACUUGAUAGCUAAUGUCAUGAUUCAACAUAGGUUUUGUCCAAUGUGUGGCCAUACAUACUAGUGCACUCACUAUGGGAAACUCAUCCACAUGACCAUGACAAGUCAUUCCUCCAAUCAAGAGGUAGUGCACUAUAGCUUUAUAUGAAUUUACUAAGUCUAUGAACUAGUUAUGAACAACUCAUCAACUUGCAAAGAACUCAUGACUUGUAUCUUCUGUGCAAUUUCUAAUACAUCUAAGUCAUGUACAAUGCUAGUGAUCUAAACCUAUAUGAUCAAAUCAAUUAGAAUGCAUAAGUGGGAUAGUGAAAUGAAAGUGAAAACUCAUAUUGUUACAUCGUGUCAUGUUUUCAUGGGCUCUAUCCUAAUACUAAGUCUAAACUUCUUGUGAUAAUUUGUGAAUUUAGUAAAAAUGUAACAAGAAAAGAGUAGAAGAAAAUGUUCUCAAGGAGAUUUAGAAAUCUAAAGCUGUUUGGAAGGAAAAUCGACAAAAUGAUGGAAAAUAGAGUAAUAUGAGCUAAUAUCAUGUCAAAAGCUUCAUUUGUUAAGAUAGAGCCUUUAAAAGUAGUGACAUAAUAUAAUAUUUGAUUUCAUUGUAUUGAAAUAAUUUUUUUUAAUCAUAUUUACAUCAUUAUAGUAUAUUUGAAUAUUUAAAUUUAAUCACUUAUAUUGUACAUGAAUUGAGUAUAUCAAGAGUUGUACGAAAGAUUCUAAUAAGUAUAUUCAAGUCAUAUUAGAAGUUGUAAUGUUCCUCCUAAUUGGUGGGAUAAUUUGUCUUAUUCAUCAGGAUGUAUAUCUCAUGGUAGGUAUACUAAUGUGUAAGGUCAUACAUUAAAUAGGACAUAUAAAAAGUCAUGAUAAAAUGAUUAUUGGUUGUCAUGACUGCUCCAAGCUACUAUAUUGCACGUGUUCUCAAUUUCGACAGAAUUUUAUGUUAGUGUUAAAGUCAUUAAUGAUUUUAAUUUAUGAUUAAGAUCUUAGAGCAAUUAUAUAUCUCUUAUGAAUGAGGUGAUUGGUGUUUUGGGUAGAUGACAAUAAAUAUUCUUGAUAGAGAAACCAUAAUAUCUCAUGGGUUUGAGAAAGUAUGUCGUCUUGGGUAAUCUUAAUAAUUCAUGACUAAAAAAUUUAUAGUUAUAGUAAUUUCUUAAGUGGAAUUUAACAUAUGUUGUUCAUGGAAAAAAGUAUGUUGAUUGAUCAUGAUAUAUAUAGAUUGAGAGUCAAAGAUUAAAGAGAUAAUCUUGAGAAGUUGAUAACUAGUACUUCAUUGGAUUAUAGACAUUAAUUUAUGGGAAAACUACAUACAAUGAAUAGUGGGUCGUUGACCCAAAAAACUAAUUAAUUAACAAUUUAUUAAUUUAUUGAUUGAUUUAAUGUUAUAUGAUGUUGAAGUGCAAUUGAUUCUUUUUUGUAGAGUGUUGAGUCAACUUCGAAAUUUGAUUAUGAAGAAUCAAUAUUUUCUUAAUAGUUCUAGUGGUCAUUGCUCAAGUUCACAUAUUUGGUGGCGCAUGGUUUGAGGGAAAUUUCUUUUGCAUAAGCAUGCACAUUGGUGCUUUUGCAUAAGCACGAGUUACAUAAAUGUUUAUAAUUAAAUGGUUUAUAGUUUCUACUUAGGCUAUUUAAUUAAUUGGAGGCUAAUGAGCUAUUUAAUUAAAUAGAACCUAUUAGGCCUAGAUUAAGUAACCCAAGGAGAUCCUAAUCACUUAAGUCCAAUUAGUAGCUAUAUAAACCCUCUUAGGGUUUAAGGUUAGCAAGACUUGUUCUUUCACUUUUCAUAAAAAAAAAAAAAAGGUCCUCACCAUCUUCAUCAAGGAAGAGAAGAUCACACUUCUCUUAUGCUUAGAUCCCAUGAAAAAGCCAUCGGGUCGAAGGUUCUAAGAUAUUAAAGUUGCUUUAUAUUACAUUGGAAAAGAUUUGAGAGCAUCCAAAUCGAGGUGUGUACUGUAAUCACCCUAGAAAUACUAUUUUUUUAAAAAUAGGCAUAUUUCUUUAGACCUAGGGAUCUUAGAUCUUUGCUCCCCUUUAGAUUGUGAUUUCUUUAGGAUAGAUCCCUUCAAAGUAUAUCAUGAUUUAACAAUAAAUGGAUUUUAUUAAUAUUAUGAUUCCAAAUUCAUUUUCACUAUCCUAUUUUUGCCUUAUCAAUGUCAAGCAUUUGGGUUUUCAUCACUUACAAUGUAUAUGACUUGAGUGCAUUAGGCCUUGUAUAAAAGAUUCAAGCUAUGAGUUCUUUACAAGUUGAUUAGUAAUUCACACUCGGUUUAUAGAUUUGCAUAAGCCAUCGAGGUUGUAGUGCACUACCUCCUAAUUAGAGGGAUGAAUUAUCUUAAUCAAUAGGAUGAAAUUCCUAUGGUGAGUACACUAGUGUAUAUGAUUAUACAUUGAAUAGAACUUAUGGUGAGUGAUGACAUUGACUAUUAUCACUAAGCUAUUAUGUUGCAUGAGCUCUUGGUUUUAAGAAAAUAUUGAGUUAGUGUUAAAGUAUUCAAUGACUUUAAACUACUAGUGAGAUUUUAAGGUGAGCAUAUAUUUCCUAUAAAUUGGGCACUAUUGAUCAAGGUAGGUGACUAUAAGUAUUCUCAAGAUGGGAACCAUGAUAUCUUAUGGGUUUGAGAUGAUAUAUCUUCUUGGCUGAUCUUAAGGGCAUGUGAUCAUGAAAUUUAUGGUCGUAGUAAUUUUUUUAAUAGAAUUUGACAUAUGUUUUUAGAGAGUUAGAGUAUGUCAGAUGAUCACAUAAUAUGAGGAUUUGAGACUCAAGAAUAGUAGAGAUAAUCUUGAGAGGUUGAUAACAUUCACUUGUUAGAUUAUGGUUACUAGUUCACAGAGAGCUUUCAUAUAGUUGUUAAUAAGUCACAAACCCAAGUUUUCUAUUUCAAUUCAAUAUCAUAGUAUAUUGUAAUGCAAUUAAUUCUUUAUAGUGAGAUGUUGAAUCAACUUCAAAAUUGGAUUAUGAGAAAGCCAACACUUGAUUAUGGGUCCUAAUGGUCCUUGCUUGAGUUCAUAUUCUUUAGUGACACAUUAUUUAAAGGAUAGUUAGGUUUUUACCCAUGUGUGUAUAUAAGGGUGUUUUGGUAAAUAUGCAAGGUUGCACAAAAACUUAUAAAUGAUGUUUCUAGAUUGGACUAAUUAACUAAAUAAAGUCCAAUAUGGUUAAUUAAUUAAUUAAGAUCCAAUGGGCUAGAUUAAGUGACUAAAGCUCAAGUUAGGCUUAAGUCACUUAAGUCCACAUGCAAGUUUAUAUAAACCUCCUUAAGGAUUUAGGGUUGGUAGUUUUACAUCUUUUUUCAGUUCUUUUUUUUUUUUAUAAAAAAAAAAUAAGAACCCUAGCCUCGAUCCCUACAUAGAGUAUUCCACCAUUCUCAUAUGCUAAAGUCUAAGAGAAAGCCAUUGGGCAAAAUAUUGUAAAAUAUUAGAGAUCCGCACUACCCUCUUCUCUGAAUGGAAUUGAUCUAGAAACAUCCAAAUCAUAGUUUUUGUUUUCUAUGCACUUAGAUCUAAGGUUCAUGAUUUUGAAUAUUUCUGUUACAUAAAUCUAAAGAUCCCUAGGAUAGUCUUGCAUGCACCCCUAUGAUCUAGGACUUGGAAUGGAGUAAUCUUGAUAUUCCAACAGAUUCUUUACAUUAUUUUGAUACCAAGAAACUCAAAUCAAAAUUGGUCCCUAUAAUGGAUGGAACCUGAACAAAGGAGCCUUUUAUCAUAAUAUUAGUGCAAAACUUUGAUACAGAAACAAAAUAAUGAACAAUGCCAAAUUUGUUAAUAACACCUAGUAUUAGAAUCAUUUCAAUAUUGAAAAUUUGAUGAAGGAACUAAAUAGACUCAAACAUUGUCCCUUAUAUUAAUAUGUUCUAAAAUAGAAGUCGAUACCAACAAAGCUUGGUAUUAAAAUUUUAGUACUAAAUUCAAUAGCAGGGACGUGUAUUAUUUAAAUUUAAGAAGAUUCAGAUUUGAGGAUGUCUUUAUUAAACCAUUUCAACACCACUUAGAUACCAAAUCUAGAUUUUGACAAAGACUUGAAAAAGUGCUUUUUGAGUAUAAUUCUAGGGAGAAUUAAAGUUGAAUGAGACUUGUCCCAACCUAAAUUUAUUGAAAAUCUAAAUUUGAAGCUAGCAAAUUGUAAAAGAGAAAAUUUCAAUCAUCAAAUCAAUACCACAGUUUCAUUUCAACAAAAGAUUUUUUAUGAUAGCAUCGAUCCUUAGUGUACAAUGUGAUAUCGACAUUUUGAUACAAUUUUUUACUAUAAGGCUUCAAUUCCCAUUACCCCAUAAUCUUAUGACAUAUGAUUAAUUCAACCUUUUUUUUUUUUUUGAGGAUUGUUCAUUUUCAACUUUUGAUCAUUUUUGAGUUAUUUUAGAAUUGCUUUAGUUAAGGUUAAGGUUAGACAAUUAUACAAGUACUUUCAUUAGUGUUCUUGGGAAGGACAUGCAUGGAGAAAUAGAUAAAGAUGAUUAUAUCAUUAGACAUAAGGUUAUUUUUUAUUUUCUUUUAAUAUUUUUGAUGAAUUUCCUAAAUUUUUGUUGUUCCUUGAAUGCCAAUAAUGAUUAUUAGGUUGGUUCUUUCAACCAACGAUUAUUCGAUUAGUACUUUUAGCCAUGAUUGGAUAAGUUCUUUCUUUCUUGAGAUGUAGUAUUGAAGAUGAAAAAUCUAGAAAUGGGGUAGCAAAAAGGUAUAUUUUUUCAUGGUUAAUGGUUUCAAGUUUUAAGCUUUUUUAGGAAUUAAUUUUUUUGUUAGUUUAUCCUUAUUAAAGAUGUAGUAGAUGCAUGCUAGGGGUCUAUCGAUCCAUAAGAGGAUAUGAUCAAUGGCUAACCUGGUGUGAUCCUCUAUGAUUACUAAUUGAGGAGAAACUAUUAGAUGAAUAAAGGGUGUUAAGAUAAGAAACCAAUGAUCCAUUCAUUAUUGAAUAACUAUUAAGAAUUGGGAUUCAAAGUUUGAAAAUCAAAGUUCUAGAUUUAAUGAUCUAUAGAGAUGACUCAAUCUUGGAAAGACUAUAAUUCUUAAUUAGAUAUUCAAAUGUUAUUUAUCUACUUUGGAUCAAAAUUUAAUUUUUAAAAAUUUCUAAGGCUUUUAUGUAUUGUCUUUCCUAAAUCAAGUUUGUGUUUUCCAUAUGAAAAUCAUACUUUUAAUGAGUAAUUCUUAGCUUAGGUUCUUAAAUAAAAGCAACAACAAGUUAAUUUGUCAUAGGCACAACCCACCAUUUAUUUUGAUUCCUUGAAGAUAAUAUCAAGAUACUAUAAGCUAUAAUAAAUCUAUUAGUUUUUCUUGGCUACUGCAUUAAAGCUUCAAUAAUUUAUAUAUCAUAGAGGAUUAGUGAAGAAAUUUGCCAUCGUUGCUAAGAAUGCAAUUGCUAGUUAUCAUUAAAUUAGUUUAAGUUAUUGAUUAGUUCUUAGUUCAACAUAUGUAUUAGUUUUUAGGAGUAGUUAAUUGCUUAGUUAAAUGAGUUGUUUACUCUUAGUAGAUUUCAUUUUGUUUUUGUUUAAAUAUUGCCCUUGCUAUUAGUACUAUGUUUUCCUAUUAUGAGCUUGAGUAUAUCAGUCGAUCACAUAAUAAGAGGACUCAAGGAUGAUAGAGGUAAUAUUAAGAGGUUGAUAAUUUUUACCUCAUUAAAUUAUGAACACCUAUUUAUGAGAAGCUUACAUGUAAUGUUUAGUAGGUAAUAGACUUGAGAAAUAGAUUAAAUUAUUAAUUUACAUCUCGAUUUAAUAUCAUAUGAUACUAGAGUAUAGUUGACUCGAUGUAGUGGAAUGUUGAGUCAACUUUAUAAUCGAAUUAUAAGGGAGAUAUUUUCUUAUAGGUCCCAAUAGUCCUUACUCAAACUGACACUCUUUAAUGACAUGUUAUUUUGAGGGAAAUUUAGGUUUUCACUCGUAUGUGUGCAUAAAGGCAUUUUGGUAAAAAUAUAGGAUUGCACAACUUAUGAAUGGUUUUUUUAGAUUUGGUUAAUUAAUUAAUUGGAGUUUAAUCCUGCUAAUAAAUUCAUUAGGAAUCAAUGAAGUAGAUUAAGUGACCCAAGCCUAAGAUGAACUCAUAUAUAAAUCCUCUUAGGUUUAUGGAUAGACUAUCAUGAUUCAUUAUUGUGAAACCAAGGUUUGGUUAAUCUUGAUUUUGAUGAUAACAAAACAAGGUUUAGAACUAAUGAUCAUAUUUCAAGUGUGAUUAGGCAAGACGACUUCCAAAGUGGCAAUCCAAAGACAAAUCAAGCCAAGGAGAAAUCAUGAAGAAGAAGACCACCUUAAAGAGAAGAGUUUUUCAAGAUCAAAGCUUCUUAAGAUCUCUUUGUAAGGUUGUUGGUGCACUAGGACUUUCAUGCAUUUCAUUCUUUAUUUAUGCACCAAAAUCAUUCAAGAGUAAUAUUGUUUUAAAUAUCUUAAGAAUUAGAUGAUUUCAUGUUUUCAACUAAAACCUUGUGUUAAAUGAUUUUCAAACUUGUGUUAAAAGGUUUUAAGUUGAAAAGGGUUGAGUGUUGAGCCAAAAAAAUGGCUCAACCGGUCAACCGGUUGUGCUCGUCCGGUUGAGGACCGGUUGAGGGAGGCCAAAAAGUUCCUCUCUCUCCCAGUGGCCUUCUCUUCCCUAUCAAGGUUGAACCUCAACCGGUUGAGGUCCGAUUGAGGCCCAACGAUCACUUUCCCUAACGGCUAGUCAACCGGUCGACCCCUAGCUCGACUGGUCGAACCCCCAACGGCUAGUAUGACUUUUUUCUUCAAUAAAAAGGCUCCAAACUUCAUUGUUUCAUAAGCUAAACCUUCCCAAAUCAUUCUUGAAUAUAUUUGAGCCUUAGAAGAGUGUUUUUGAGUGCACCAUUGUUUCAUAACUUGCAUAUCUUUGUGCACUAUUCAAUCCUAGUUUUUCUUGUAUCUUUGAGCCUAAAAUUCUAUUACUAGGAUUUUUGUGAGAUCAAUCUUUGUAUAUCUUUGAGAGGAAUUUUCUCAAGUGAGGGGUAUCACUUGAGAGGUUGUUCAAGAGUGAGAUAACUCUUGAGAAGUGUAAAGGGUGCUUGGAGCCAAAAGUCCAAGAGGGUGAAUUAGAACCAUAAUCCAAUUGUAAAGAGAUUGGAAGCUUGGUUGAAGCUUCAAGAUAGUGGAACCCUCACUCGGUUAGGAGGUUGAGGAGAGUGGACGUAGGCAAGGAAGUGCCGAACCACUAUAAACUCUCGUGUUUGCACUCUCUCUUCCCUAACUCUUUUAAAUUAUAUGCAAUUGUCUUUAUUUUGUUUAUUAUAUACUUGCAUAUAAUUGUCUCUUAUUUUUGCAUAGUUUAAAUUUGUGAAAAAGAGACCAUCACCCUAUUCACCCCCCAUCUAGGGUGAUUACCAUAAGUUGGAUUAGUUUUAAAUUCCUAACAAUUAUUAUCUUCUAAAGAGAGAAAACCCUAGCCUUUAUCCUUAUAGAACAAAGUCUACCAAUCUCCAUUGCCAAGAUUUAAGAGAAAGCUAUCGAAUGAAAGAUCCCUAGGUUUUUGAUGUCUUUUUUAAUUAACUGGAAAAAUGAUUUGCGAACAACUAAAUUUGAUGUAUGGAUUCUACUUUUAAUCACCUUAAAAUAAAUUUUAAAAGACUUAUUUAGUUUUCGUUACACCUAAGAUCUAUAGAUGCAUCUAUCCCUUUAGGGAUCAAGCGUUUGGAUUCAUUUUCCAAAGAAUAAAAAAAUCCAUUUCUUGGGCAAUCCUUGAUGAUCAAGGAUAAUGCUACAAUAACUCUUCCUUUUAUAAUGAGGAGUUAGCAAUAAGGGGCAACCUUCUUCUCAAGGGAACAAGAGAGACUUGAUUUAAGCAUGAGUUGCCCUUAUUUAGAAAGGUUUUAAAUUGAGAAGGAAUUGACUCUCCACCUUCUAUCAUGAGAAUGAAGUAAUCUUCUACUAUAUAUAUGAGAUCCUUCAUGGCCUCAAUAUCAAUCAUGAGGAUUUUUUUUUCUUUUCCAAGGAAGAGUGGGUUAAGGUAGAAGAGUGAGGGAAAGGCAUAAGAGGUAGUAGUGUAAACAUGCUAGUCGAAUACUCUCGAUAAGAAAGAAAGUGUUAUCUAGGAAACCUGGAUUACUCAAUUCCCAUGCCUUGGAUCUUGUAGGGUGCAUGCAUCUAUCCCUAAGGAUCUCUAAAUCUAACACAACGAAAAUAAAUGGUUUAAAAAAUAUGGAAUAAUACAAAUAUAGAGAUUAAAACUCAUAUCUACGAUCUUGAUGUUCCUAGAUUGAAAUCCAUCUGAUGAAGACUGUGCAUGAAUGCUCUAGAGGUCCUAUGCCCAAAGUCUUUUGCCCGACAACUAGAACCAUGUCCAUGACAUUCUAAAGAAUGAACUUUGGAAAUGUGGAUGUCUAGAUUCUCGUUUUCUCUUUGGAUCUGGAAGACAGUAGUCAAACGACCAUUAGGAAACCUUAACCCCAUGAAGGGGUAUUUAUGGGGUUCUUGUACUGAGUUUAAAUAACUUAAGCCCACAUAGGUUUGGGUCACUUACUUUAGCAUAAAAUGGGUCCUAAUUGAUUAAUUAACUACAUAGGCCGUCUAAUUAAUCAUUUUUCUCAAUCCAAAGACCUUAUUCACUAUCCCAUGUGCAACCUUGCAUAAUUACUAAAAUGCCUUUAUGCACAAGAGUGAACCAAGAGUUAAUCCAACCCUCAUACACCAUGCCAACAUGGUAUAUGAGCUUAGAUAGGGGACCAUUGGGACCCAUAAGAGUAUUGGCUCCCUUAGAAUAUAAUUUUGAAGUUGAUUCAACAUCCCAUUAUAGAGAAUUAACUGCACUUCAAUAUCUUAUAUAGAUAAUAAUGAGACGAAACUCAGGUUUGUAACCUACUAUCCAUUGCAUGCAAACCCUCUAUGAAUUAGUGUUUAUAAUAUAAUAAAGUAGUGUUAUCACCUAUCAAGAUUACCUCUCAAAUCCUUGAGUUAAAAAUCUUACUUAUUAUGUCAUCAAUUGACAUACUCCAACUUCAAGGAGCAUAUGUCAAAUUCCACUAAAGGGGAUAUAUAGUCCUAAACCAAUGAGAUAUCAUGACGCCUCUAUUGAGAAUACAUGUUAUCAUCAACUUCCAUCAAUAAUGACCCAAUUAAUAGAAAUAUAUAACCAUUUUAAGAUCUCACCCAUAGGUCAAAACACUUUAUUGAUUUUGACAUAGAUUCAAUAUCCUUUUAAGGUUGAAAGUCCAUGCAGUAUAAUAACUUAGUAGAUUAUGACAAUUAAUAGCCUUACAUCAUGAUUCACUAUAGGUCAUGUCCACUGUGCAUGACAUACACUAAUGCAUUUACCAUGGAAAACUCAUCCCGAUGACCAAGACAAGUCAUCAUUCCAAUUAGGAGGUGGUAUACUAUAGUCUCUAGUGGAUUGUCCAAAUCAAUCCAUAAACUAACUGUGAAUAACUUAUCUAUUUACAAAUAACUCAUAACUUGUAUCCUCCAUGUAACUCCUAAUGCACCCAUGUUAUGUACAAUGUAAAAUAUAUGAACUAAAUGCUCAAAUCAAUGUCAAUGCAUAAAAGGGAUAACAAGAAGACAAAUAAGUUUGACUUUGUUACCUCAUGUGUUGUGUUUAGAGGCUUAAUCCCAAUAGAAAUAUCGCUAAAGGAUGAGGUAUUAAGCUAACCACUUUCUUAGAGUAUGAGACUUAGGACCUAUUUGGUUGUUGUUUUUGAAAACUGUUUUGGAAAACAGUUUUUGAGAACAGUUUUUUGUGUUUUCAGAAAAAAAAAAAAUUGCAUUUGGGAAUUGAAUUCUGGAAAAUAGUUUUUGUUCUAAAAAAAAACAUGUUUAGUUGAGUUAAUAAAAAAGUUUUUUAGAAUAAGUAAAAUAAAAAACAUGUUUGAAAGUUUUUCUUAAUUAAUAAAGUGUUUUAUUCCAUUAACUUGAUAUUAUAAAUAUUUAAAUAAUUUUCAUAUGCACAAUUCAUUUAAAUUGAAAAAAAAAAUUCCAUUUUGAAAUGUUUACACUAGUUAUAAUUUUCUUAAACAAAGGAUGAGUUUGUCAUCAUGUGUAAGUAUAUUAAUUUCAAUAAUUUAAGGAAGAAGAAAGAGUUUGCAGGUGGAGGUGUGGUGGUUGGGUGGAGCUCACCUUUAUGAAAACACAAAAAAACAGCUAAGAAAACACAAAAAGAAUGGAGGAGAAAACACAAAAAACAAUCUAUUCUUUGAACAGUGAAAAAACAAUGAAAACAUCUUUUUAUUGUUCUCAAAAAAGUGGUUUUUGAGAACACAAAAAACACAAAAAACACAAAAAACACAAAAAACAAAAACACACCCCUUUCCCCAAACAAGUUUUUUGUGUUUUUUGUUUUCAAGAACAGGAAAUAAUUAUUGAAAAUAGAAACCAAACAAGCCCUUAGAUCCCGAGUGGUUUAAGGAGAAUAAGGAUUAGUGUUUCCAUUUCCUUUAGAGGCAUGCUACUAUGGAAAAGUAGCGCAAAUUCCUUAAAAUUAAGGACAAGAGUAGGAACUUGAGAUAAGGGCCAAAAAUUUGACAUGGUGACACCAUAAACUAAGCCAACUAGGAUAUGUUCCAUACAAAUGGCUUAUAGCCUAUCUAGUUGGUGAGGUGAGAGUUAAAAGCUAAAUGUUAGAAGAACACAUCAAAAUUAAUGACCUACCUAAUCUCUUGAAAUAGUUGUGCUAGAUACGAGUCACAAGUUAUCCUUGGGACUUUAUAAAACAUGAAAGACAAGUCAAAAUCCAAAUGAGUAAAAGGAAGACUAAAGAGCUAAGUGAAAAAGAAGGGCCUUUAUCAAGGCUAUGUGACCUCUCACAUUUUCCCAUGAUUAGAAGGAAUCCUUGUUUCUCCAAUUUCUUCUAGGAGUUGAGAAUAUUAGAAAUCAAACAUUGGUUCCUAUUUAAAGGAGAUGUACCAAGUGUUAGAACUAUAUCUUUUGACCUAGUAAAUGAACAUAAGCUCCCAUAGUCCACACGGUACUUAAGUGUCAUAUUCAUCAUAAUAACUGCUAUGAAAUCAUCGAAGGUAUUAGGGUUAAUGCAAUGUAAUGAAACUUUCAUAAAAUUGAAGAAACGUUUUAAAAGGGAAGGAAGAGACAAGCAAGAAUCAACCUUUAAAUGCUCUACAAGAUAUAUCCUUCCUCUGCAUGCAAAGGUCACAACAAGUUUUUACAAUACAGGCUCAUAACCUUUACAAAAGGUGGGAUUUGGAAGCAACAACCCAAAAGCCAUGGAUGAUACCUUGAAGUUGGGGGAAAGUGUAGCGAAUAGGAAAAACUACUCAAGAAAUAACGAUACAUGGGUGAAAAGAAAUGGAGAGUAAGAAAUAGAGAAUACAAAAAGAAAAAGAAUAUCAAUGGGAAAACACCUUAUAUAUGUGAAGAAAAAUGGCAUUGGAAAUCGAAAAGGAUGUAAUCAUUGCAUUGCACCUUGCAAAUCUCUUAGGAAACAUACCCAUCACCAUGUUAACUUUCAAUUUUUUCUUCUAAUGAGGGAGUAACUACAAUGUCUUGAAGUUAUUAUAAACCUAAUAUUAGUUUUUUGUUUUUUUAGUCUUUUGAUGUAAAUUAAUACUUUAAUAGUAGAUUAAUGUAGUGAGAUUUCUCUCUUUUUUUUUUUUUUUUUUUUUAAAAAAAAAAAGACAAACUACUUGUUUUAGUAGUAGAGAAGUUGGUAGCUUAGUCAACAACUAGCAUGGUUGUGUGAUUGAAAAUUUUAGCCAACCUUUCUACAUUUUAGUGGAUGUUUGGGAAGUCAUUUGUAUUAUCAAGAUUUAUCCAAAAAGAGGCUAAGGCAAGUGUGAGGAGAGAGUUGUUUUAAGAGACUUAGUAGGACUAAAUGACACACGACAACAAUUAAAGAUGAUUCAAUUGCUAGCUUGAAAUUAUUGUCUUUAAUAAUUAGUCUUAAAUGUGAGGGAGAAACUAAAAAAAAAACGCUGGAAUUUUGUACUUCUCUCUAAACUUAGAGUUGCAAUUGAAAAGGGAAAUCAAAGUAAAAAACUAAAUGCUAAAGAAUAAUCAACUUGCUUAAUAAGUAGAUAAAUUACUAUUUGAAAUUCUACAAGCAACUAACAAGAUACCAAGAAAGGUAUAUGGAAGUCUUCUAGAAAGUAUUUGAUAGGUUGAAAAUUGAUAGUAGUGAAAAUAAAUGCUUGCCUUCAAAAGUUCACUUGCCUCUAAAUAAAUUCUUGUUUGAAAAUCAUUAAACUGGUAUUUUAUAUAUUUCAAUUUUUGUAAAAUAACUCUGCACCACUAAGUUAUUGCUCAUCUUUUUAAAAAUGAUUUUUUCGACAUAGUUGAAGGAAUUCAAGAGGAGAAAAAUAGUUGAAGUAUCAUGUGAAACUUACAAACAUCUUGUUGGUUGUGUUUAGGGUGGUUUCCCUAUUUGAGUGUUUCAUGCUACCUAUUGUCAUAUAUGGAAAAAAAAAAUGAGAAUUGUAAUUUUGGUAAUGUACUACACUAUUGUGUAAUAGAAUAUAAGAUGAUGAUUCUUCUUUUUGUGUUGUAAAUUUGGUUUUGAUUUAUGUAAAUCAAGUUUUAGGAUGUUAAUAGAACUUAUCAUAGUUAAAAUUAUUGAAUGAAUAUUUAAAUCUAGAUUUUAGGUGUUAAAAGGAUGGAAAAACAAGUUUAAAAUAGUUGAAAAAGAAAAAUAGCAAAAAAUGCAAACUUGCGUAAAAGUUUACUUAGAGUUGUGUACACAAGCCUUUGAGCUACUUAGAUCCUUGUAUGCAAACCUUUGAGCAAGUUGAGUCCACAUAUGCAAACCUUUAAGAAAGUUAAGUUUGUGUACACAAACCUAUGAACAAGUUGAGUCCACAUAGUUUCUCAAGCAUUUUACAUUAUGCAAACUAAGCGCUAAGCAACUUGACCUUGUGGAAGGAACUAAGCGUCAUUCUUCCAAAAUUUCACACACUUGCAUAGAUAACCCACAUGACCUUGAGACAACCUUUAUGUGCCCCUACAUUGUGAACAUUGAAAUAAAUGUCCUUACUUUGUUAUUUAUAUUUCCAUUUACUUUAAUUUAUAAUGUAAAUAAUGGAGUACCCCUAUUUGAAUUAAAUAAAAAUAUUUUCAAAAACCAAAUCUAAUUCAAUCAAAAUUUGAUUUUCUAGUCUAGUUAUGAAAAUUAUUUAAAUGACAACUUUUAUGAAAAAAAAAAUUAUGGAAAUGGCUUGCAUGAGUAGAAUUUACAAAAAAAAAAAAUGAAAAUUCCAAAAGAUUAUUUUUAGUUCUACCAACAUAGAAACAACAAAAUCCAUUACUUUUUAUCUUAAAUUGAGAAAGUUUUACAAAUAGCCUAUUUCUCAUAGAUAGUGAAAUUUCAACACAACUAAGUCAAUAUAUAGAGCAGACUCGAAGUUUUUUAAUCUAAACAACUAUGUUCCAAAGGCAUGAAAGUAAAAAAAUUUGAGCCCAAACUCUUAACUUUUUCCUUAAUUCACACUUUACGUUCUAAAAUACUUAGGUGAACCUUGGACAUUAUACUAGACCAUAGUCUUAAAUCUUGGGGUGUAAUAGGAACUAUAAGGAUAUAGAAGGUUGGCAAGCCUAUCACCAUAAGGGUACAUGUAAGCCCAAGAGAGGAUGCUUUAGGAUGAGCAGGUAGGGGGUGCCCACAAUGUUGUCUCUGCUCACAAUGUUGUCUCUUUUAGAUCCCAUAAGUGACAAUUUGCGUAUUUAAUGUGAUUGGAUGCCUGUCUCAUGCUUACAAUGUGAAUAAGACCUUACCUCAAAAUCAAGUGACCAAUAGUCAUUUCUUGAUUGGGCAUUAACAAGGUGUGAUGGCAUGUACUAUUCAACCAUUGGUAUGGUUAUAACUUCUAACAAACCUAAUCUUAACCUUUAACACUCCAUGUAAGUUGCAUAUAAAAGGGGAUAACAUGAUUCUCCCAUUUAUGUUCUCUCUUAUCAUUUGUCUCCUCUUAUUGGCCUAACCAGCCACCUCACUUCAAUUAGUCAACAUUAUCUUUACAGGAGAGGGUGCACAUGCCUUCUCACACACCACACUAAGAACGUAGUAGUAAUAAUAGUAGUAUUAGUUAAAUAAAAAUGAUGAAAGAUAAUAUAUUUUUCUUAAUUUUUCUCAAUUAGUUCAACCCUUCUACUCAAACAAACACUAGAAUGUAGAAUUCAUAAAAGUUGCUUUAAAAGAAAAAUGACUAAUUAAAAGAAUCCACCCAAUUUACUCAAACUCCCAUAGUAGAUGUUUUUUGUCAUCUAUACAUAAAAAAAAAUUCUGGUGGCAUAAUCCUAUGAUUGGAUUAUUAAAAAGUACUAAAUGAGGCAAUGGAAUUAUAGAAAAUGGUUUAAUUAAUAAUCAUCACUGGCUCUAUAUUUAAAGUAUUCUAACCAACAAACUAUAUAAGAAUGCAUGUUCUAUAUUUGUUAACAAUUCUCACCAACUUUAGGUGGUCCUAAUGGCCUCAUUCAAGGGAGAACCUUGUAAAUGACGAUUCUCCUGCCUUUGGGCUUACGGUGCAACUUGCUUUAAACCGGGCCUAGCCCAAUUCAACCAACAGGUAGGCUUGCACUCUAGACUUACGCAAGCCACCCCAACUCCUCAAUACAAACAGGACAAAAUUCAUCUUAUAAUUUCAAUGGCUAUAUAGAUCCCCCACUCACAUAUCAUUGUCUUGUGCUGGUUUCAAAUUUAAAUUAUAAACCAUACUCUAGAUCAUAUGAAAAGCCAAUGCUUCUUCUAUUCAUAUUUUUCACAACAUUUGUAGCAAUUUACCCAUUUUAAAUACAACACAAAAUUAAUCAUCCAACCAUUAAAUUUACUAAUCAUGCAAGUGGACAUAUUUAGGGUUGGAAAAAAAAUGAUGUAAAUGAAGAGAUAGAGGCCUAGAAUGCAGACAAGAAAUAAUAAUAAUGCAGAUGGAAAAGGUAGGGAGAGGGAGGAGGGUCCAUGGCCUAAUAUGAAUUAUAAAAAGGGUCAAAAUUUGGACCACACAACUCAUCCCCACUUAAAAAUUUGUACGACAUAUCGGUUACCAACUAUUUCACCAUCUAUAAAACCAUUGAAAACAACACUACAUAUUUUUUUGGUAUGGAAGCAAUACAAAUACCAACAAAAUUGCCCUUAUGUUAAAUACCCUUCUCUAUAGGUUAACAUUAAUAAUAAUUUUUAUAAAGAGGGAGAGAUGGGAGAGAUGGAUAGUACUGAUUUGUUUGCUACACCUUGUCGUCGCCCAAAAGCAGGAAGGUGAGACAAUUUAGCUCCUCACCGGUCCUUUCCUCCAUCAUUACUUCUCUUUCUUUACUUCUUUUCUAUUCUAAUGAAUAUUUCAUUCUAAUUAAUUUUUUUUAAUAGAAAUUAGACUAUUUUUUUAAACCCCAUUACAAUUUUUGUUAAGAAUAAAAAAGAAAAAAGAAUGUGUUACAAAAAGGGGAGGGGAGAUCCUUCUUUUACAUUUCCACUUCUUUUACGAAAUUAUUAAAUAAAUAAAUGAAAUAAAGAAUAUGAAAACCCAACAAUAUCAGCAGCCAGCCUUUUUUCACUUUCCUUCUUUAUUAUCAUUCCAUUUUCCAUCUCUUUUCCUUGCUUUCCUCCUCAUCUCUUCCUCAUCUCAUCUCAAAAUUCUUUUCCUCAGAAUCUCCAGAAACCCUCUGUCUUUCUCUCUCCAUACAGAUCCAAAGCUUCAAUUUUCGAAUCCAAAAUCUUUGUUUUUUCUUUUUUUUUUAGAUUCUUUUCCCACUUUUCUAUUUUCCCACAAAUUUUGCAUUCCCUGUAAUCUUUGUAUAAAACCCAUUCUUUUCCCUGCAGAUUCUUUGCUAAGAAAAUGUGGGUCCGCUGAUCCUAAACCUAGGGUUUCGAUCCGCUUCCUGUAGGCGGCGGGGAUUUAGGGUUUCUCUUCAUCGACGAUGCGGAAUCGGUGUUAGGUUUUGGUUAUUAUUGUGUUGGUGUGAAACUAUAUGUGCAGAUUUGUUGAUUUUUGGGCGAUUAAGAAGGUUGUUGUGCCACUGUGUAUGUUGGGAAUUGAUGGAUCUGAGAGUUGGGAGAUUUGAUCGGUCUGCGAGAAGGGCAUCGAAAUUGUAUCGAGGGGAAAGGUUUGUUUGUGAUUUGUAAUGGUGAAUGGUCUUUUGGGUUAAGAGGGAAAGGGUCGAGAUUGUUUUGUUUUUGGGGCUUUGAUUUUAAUUGGGAUUUGGCAUCAUGGAUCAUGUGAUUGGUGGGAAGUUUAAGCUCGGCCGCAAGAUCGGGAGUGGAUCGUUCGGAGAGCUUUACUUAGGUGGGGAUUCUUUUCCAUCAAAUGUAGCUUUGUUGGUCUGGGAAUUGUUUGUGUUAAUGGUGAUUUGAUUUGUUUCAGGGAUUAAUGUACAAACUGGAGAAGAAGUGGCUGUUAAGCUGGUACGUGAAUUCUUUAUAUGCUGAAGAUUUCCUUAUUUUAUUUGAUGGUAUUGAGAUUGAACGAUCAAGUGUAAUGUUGUUUACAACUCCUGUUUGAUGUUAUAUCCAAGAGAAUUGUUGGCUGGAAGCAAGUUCUUUAAUUGUUUCUAGAUGGUUGAGAUAAGGUUUUGUUGAGUUUAAUUUUAUUCAUUUUAGCUCGUAGCAAUAUCAGAAGAAAGGAAUGAUCUUCUUUUGGAAUUGAAUAAGCCUUGCAAAAUAAUUUGUUUGUGAGCGGUUUAAAAGAGCAGAUAAAACAUGGUAGUCUAUAGGACCCAUGAAGAGAUGACUAGCCUAUGGACAUGGAUGGUUUGAACCUUUGACUUAAACAUAUUAACUAUCGUUUUUUUUCAAAUGUGCAUUCUUAAAGAGGGUAUUGUUAAGUUAGUUGGUCUGUUUUGAUAUCAUCUCUGCAAUAUAGAUAUUUUUAGAUGAUACCCAUUUUAAUUGCAUGCUACUCCUACUUUUGGUGUUUAUAGAAGUUUCAAGUUUAAUAAGAUUUGAGCUUUAUCCAAUGAACAAUGUUGGGUACAGCACAAAAGAAGCAGUCCUUCACUUGUAGAUUGCUUGUGAGUUGAACUCACACUAGUUUUUACUUGCAGUUUAUAGUAUAAGUUUCCUCCUAAGAACAGUAUCAGGCUAAGCUUUUGUUCAGUUUGAUUUUGAUCAUAGUUUUGCUUGUUUGUCAUAAAGGUUGUAAAUGCCCUUGGACACUAAUAAUUCUCCAUGGUUAUUUUCUUUUCAUUCCACUUUACUAACUUAACUCUCUCUCUUUUCUGUAGGAACCUGUAAAGACAAAGCACCCUCAACUUCACUAUGAGUCCAAAUUGUAUAUGCUUCUUCAAGGAGGAAGUAAGUUCCUAUUUUUUCUAUUCAUACAUGUCUGGUUAUUUUGUUGAGUCAAAGUCAAUUCUAUUUGUCUAUUUUAUACAUAUGUAUUUAUUUUAUUUCUUUUUGGAUGAAGCUGGCGUUCCCCAUCUCAAAUGGUUUGGAGUUGAGGGUGAAUACAAUGCCAUGGUCAUUGACCUUCUUGGACCAAGCCUUGAGGACUUGUUCAACUACUGCAAUCGGAAAUUUUCAUUGAAAACAGUUUUAAUGCUCGCAGAUCAACUAGUAAGCAAGCUGAUAUUUCCAACAUAGUUGUGUUUUGUUUGUGUAGCUUCUAUACUUACACUUUUUCCUCUGUUUUAUGUAGAUUAAUAGAGUUGAAUAUAUGCACUCAAGGGGUUUUCUUCACCGUGAUAUAAAGCCUGAUAACUUUUUAAUGGGUUUAGGACGAAAAGCAAAUCAGGUACACUCUUCUAUUGAAUACUUUGAUUGCUUGCAUGAUGUCUGCAUUUUCCAUACAUAGAAGCGUUUUGACCACUUUCAGUUGGUUGUAAGAUUCUCUGUUUGAUGUUCACUGGCAAUAAAAUCUUUUUGAAUAUAAAAAGUGCCAGAAAUCUCAUGUCACUUUUAUGUUUGACAUAUAUGGGUAAGAAUUAAUGAGAUAAACUGCUAAAGUUUAUAGUGGAACUUCUUUAGCAUACUCACAUUUGGAGUUUAAUAAUUUGUAUGGUCUGAGAGGUUUCUGGCACAAAAUUAUUCACAAUGCUGAGAAGUUAAAUUGUCUCCUUAGAAUUAAUUUUAAAGUGACAAAGCAAAUAUCUCAUGUUCUAAAAUUCUGGACAAAUAUUUUGCAUAAUUUUUAUUUAAUUAUAUAUACUCAUCUCUAGAUGUUUAGGUGAUUAAUGCACCUUGCAUGUGAGUUUAGGAAAUGAAUGGUGGGAUAAUGGGGCUUUUAUUGAAUUUUUAUUAUCAUAAUGAGAAUGUAAGUAUUUCUGUUGUCUGCUAAUUCUUGUUUUUAGUUAUAUUUAGGCCAAUACAUGCUUGCCAUAUGAUCAACCCAAAUUUUCUUGAGCUCAUCUGAUUGACAAUAAAUUUUAUGCUGCUUUGAGAAAUGUCCUUGGCCCAUGCCAACUGGGAAUUUUCUGCAGAACUACAAGCUAUAUAUGCAAAGGCUAUCUAGAACUAUAUAGUACUCCCAAAAAAUAAUUAUCCAAUAUUGUCAUAAAAAUUGUUCUGAAUAAAUGCAGAUUAACUUUUUUUGCCUGUUUACAUUCUCACAGGUUUACAUCAUUGAUUAUGGCCUUGCUAAGAAGUACCGAGAUUUUCAGACACACAAGCACAUACCUUACAGGUGGGAGACAUUCCUUAGUUUUCUAGGGAAUGUGAUAUAACCAUUUCUCGCUGUUCUGUUUAGGACCUUGUGUCCCAUUUUGUUAAACUCCAAUUGUAAUAUUGCUGUUCUAUAUGCAAGCUAGUCUCUGUUUUCUGAUGCAUUCUUAUGUGAAAGUUUCCAUAUAUCUAUAUCCAUAUGCAUGGCGAGAUGCUUGGCAUGCAUGUCUAUUUUUAAUUUUUGUUAUAAUGAUUUUAGGGAGAAGGAACAGAGGAGAGUAAUGUAAUGUUUCCUCCAUUUUUUGCGUUUCCUUUCUAUCAUGUAAUAAUUGCUGAUUUUAAGCAUCCCAGGGGUAUGACAUACUUUUCCAGGUUCUCAAGCACCUGUUUUUAUUGAACUAGAGAAAACUCUCAAUUUGGUAGUCAUUUUUUAUCUUACUUCCAAAGGAAGUUUGAAAUUCUGAGCCUAUUAUGCUUAUUUAAGAGUUUUGAUAUGUCAAGGAGAUGUGAUUAUUAUCCUUCUGACACAAACAAAAACCAGAUUAAAUGGAUGGUGAUUGUUGCAACGGAUCCAGGAUUACUGAUGAAUGGGGAUUUUUGCUUUUAGUACUUGUUUAUUAUGUGUACUUGUGGGUUGUCGUUAUUCAGGGUUACUUGCCAUCAAGCAGGUAGGCCUUGGUGUCUGUAUAAUCCAGUUGCAAUAACCAAAUGAUCUACUGUUAAAAAAAGGCUAAAGAAAAGUUAGACAACAGUAUCUAGACCUUGAUGAUGAAGGCUAUAAUGCAUGGUUAGGAUGUUUUAGCUGCAAAAUGAUUGGGCUUUGAUAAACAUCAUGCAUAUUCAUUUUGUUUUUUCUUUCAGAGAAAACAAGAAUCUCACUGGAACAGCUCGCUAUGCAAGUGUUAACACACACCUCGGAGUUGGUGAGUGAAGUUGACUUAUUGCAACUUGUAACAAAACAUGGCUUUUUGCUCAUGCUAUCAUAUAUUCAGAUUCUUGCAACCUUGCAUUAGUAUGAUUGUUUUUUGAUGUGAUUGAAUGUUGCUUGCAGAACAAAGCAGGAGAGAUGAUCUGGAAUCUCUUGGUUAUGUGCUAAUGUAUUUUUUGAGGGGAAGGUUGAAAAUGACUAAUGACGUCACUUUUGUAUUCUUUUGAAUCUUUUUUCGCAUUUCUAACUUAGUUUGUUAUAUUCCUGCCUCAGCCUUCCAUGGCAGGGCUUGAAAGCCGGUACUAAAAAACAGAAAUAUGACAAGAUCAGUGAAAAGAAGAUGCUGACUCCCAUAGAGGUGCCGUUCUUUGCUCCGAUAGGACACUUAUGAUAUGUUGAAUAUAUUAAGAGCCUGUUUGGGUUAAGCUUUUAACUUCUAGUUUUAGCAGCAGAAGUAGGAGCAAGUAAUAUGUUGAAUAUUUUAAGAGCCUGUUUAGAUUAACUUUUAACUUCUACUUUUAGCAGUACAAGUAGGGGAAGAAGUAACCAUUAUUUCUAUGAAAUUGAUUUUAUGAUUUGGAAUGUAUUUUAGAAAGGGCUUUUAUUAGAAAAUUUGGCAUUUUAAAGAAUUUAAUGAAAUAAAUAUUUGCUUCCCCACAUUGUGUUCCCUACUUUUUGUUUACGAAUCAUGUUGGGAAUGUGUAGCCCAAGUUUGAGAAAUUCUAUUCAAGAAAUUUUAAAAUUUGCAUUUUUCCUUUGAGCAUUCUGUUUUGCUUUUAAGACACUCUCCCAAACAGGUCUUAAGUAUGAUUACUAAGUCACUGGGUUGUUGAGUUAUAUAUCCCCACUACUAGCUUCUCUUGCAUAUUUAUUAACCGGAUUUACAUGGAAUGCUAAUUUCACAGGUACUUUGCAAAUCAUAUCCAUCAGAGUUCACAUCAUAUUUCCAUUACUGUCGAUCAUUGCGGUUUGAUGACAAACCAGAUUAUUCAUACCUGAAGAGGCUUUUCCGGGACCUAUUUAUUCGUGAAGGUAGACUUAUAGACAUUUGUAUUCCAAUAUCUGAAUAUUAUUUUCAUUUCUUGUUAUUUUUAUUUUAAAUAUUUAUUCUGCAAGUUGAUCUUAACUAUAGACUGAUAGAAGUGCUGCAAUUGCUUAAUCUUAGUUUUGAGAAUGACAAUUGGUGCAGGUUAUCAGUUUGAUUAUGUAUUUGACUGGACCGUACUCAAGUAUCCGCAAAUUGGAUCCAGUUCUAGAGUGCGGGUAAGCUCUUCUUAGUUGCUUGGCUUGUGUAACUUACUAUUCUUUUAUAAAUUGUUUCUCUUAUUCUUCACAUCCCUUUCCAGCAGCCUAGUGGAAAACCAGCUUUAAAUCCUGGACCAUCUGCAGAAAGAAUGGAGCGGCCAUCAGGUUUGUUUCUUUCACAGAAAGGUUCAGAAAUGUGUUGGUCAAGGUUUCUAUUUAAUCAAUUUUAAUUGCCAACCUAGAUAUUUAGAUUCUAAGUUAUGGAUGUGUUCUCUCAACUACUUGCUUUCUUUUUCUGUGUCAUGGAUUUAAAUUUACAUUUCUAUAAUUGAGUUGAUGUGUCUGAAGAAUUUGGUAUUUCUCUGAACAUCACUGAUGGUGUGGUCUAUAGUGCUUUCAUUUUAUUUUGAAAAAACUUCUGUUUGUUUCCUAUCUCUGAUUCAAAUACUUCUUUCAUCUAGUGGGACAAGAGAUUCGAGAUAGAUUCUCAGGUGCAGUUGAAGCAUUUUCUAGAAGGAACAACUCAGGUUCUGGUUAUCAUGGUGACCAGUCCAGGCACAGAGGUUCGGAGGAUGUACCAUCUUCAAAGGAUGUGGUGAGUUGCUGCAACAAUAAGAUGUGCACAUUGUGCAUGAACUUAAAUUCUUAUUACUUUGUCCCUUCCAUUUCUGUACUUGGUUCUGGUUUUAAGUUGUAGUAGACACCCUAAUUGUCAUUUUCCCCUGAAAAGAAGUCCAAAUGUUUUAACUACACCAUCAACCCUUGCCCAUUUUUCUAAACUUGGGCUGUUUCUUUCAGCAAACUGAUUCUGAAAGACCCCGGAGCUCCUCUCGAAAUGGCAGUACUUCAAAGAGGGCUGUUGUAUCAAGCAGCCGCCCAAGCUCCUCUGGUGAACCUACUGAGACUCGUGCAAGCCGUCUGGUCUCAGGCAGUGGCCGCUUGUCUACGACUCAAAGGAGCCAACCUGGUUUUGAAUCGAAAUCAUCAUCUUUCACUCGUGCUUCUGCAGCAAGAGGUGGGCGUGAAGAUCCUCUACGGAGCUUUGAGCUCCUAACGAUUGGCUCUGGGAAGAAGAAAUGAGGGAGAGAUUGAUCUUGUAAGAAGUUGAUUGGGAGGGGGAAAUUCCCCUGGCUAGUGUCCUAUCAGAAUCUCAGCACCCUUGAUAGUUUUACCAUGGCUCUGUAUAUGUGAAUUAUGCAUUAUUGGGCUCACAUGCGCAGUUAGAAGCUCAGUCAAAGCACUCGAGACUCUUCCUUCUUCCUCUUUGAGAGUUCGUGCCAUUAUAUUGCC